GAACGCUGGCGGCGUGCCUAAUACAUGCAAGUCGAACGCUUCUUUUUCCACCGGAGCUUGCUCCACCGGAAAAAGAGGAGUGGCGAACGGGUGAGUAACACGUGGGUAACCUGCCCAUCAGAAGGGGAUAACACUUGGAAACAGGUGCUAAUACCGUAUAACAAUCAAAACCGCAUGGUUUUGAUUUGAAAGGCGCUUUCGGGUGUCGCUGAUGGAUGGACCCGCGGUGCAUUAGCUAGUUGGUGAGGUAACGGCUCACCAAGGCCACGAUGCAUAGCCGACCUGAGAGGGUGAUCGGCCACAUUGGGACUGAGACACGGCCCAAACUCCUACGGGAGGCAGCAGUAGGGAAUCUUCGGCAAUGGACGAAAGUCUGACCGAGCAACGCCGCGUGAGUGAAGAAGGUUUUCGGAUCGUAAAACUCUGUUGUUAGAGAAGAACAAGGAUGAGAGUAACUGUUCAUCCCUUGACGGUAUCUAACCAGAAAGCCACGGCUAACUACGUGCCAGCAGCCGCGGUAAUACGUAGGUGGCAAGCGUUGUCCGGAUUUAUUGGGCGUAAAGCGAGCGCAGGCGGUUUCUUAAGUCUGAUGUGAAAGCCCCCGGCUCAACCGGGGAGGGUCAUUGGAAACUGGGAGACUUGAGUGCAGAAGAGGAGAGUGGAAUUCCAUGUGUAGCGGUGAAAUGCGUAGAUAUAUGGAGGAACACCAGUGGCGAAGGCGGCUCUCUGGUCUGUAACUGACGCUGAGGCUCGAAAGCGUGGGGAGCAAACAGGAUUAGAUACCCUGGUAGUCCACGCCGUANACGAUGAGUGCUAAGUGUUGGAGGGUUUCCGCCCUUCAGUGCUGCAGCUAACGCAUUAAGCACUCCGCCUGGGGAGUACGACCGCAAGGUUGAAACUCAAAGGAA
Molecule: ribosomal RNA, 908 nt
Filed under: uncultured organism
Description: SSU rRNA
Rfam family: Bacterial small subunit ribosomal RNA
Source: RNAcentral